This is a small nucleolar RNA of Cydia fagiglandana, 77 nucleotides long. RefSeq annotates it as small nucleolar RNA SNORD61. NCBI's taxonomy places the organism in Eukaryota, Metazoa, Arthropoda, Insecta, Lepidoptera, Tortricidae. The record is from RefSeq and is a predicted model, not a curated record. The transcript has a single exon.
UUAGUGAUGAAUGUUUUUGGUAUGACCACCAGUACUGAUUAGAAAAACCAAACUAUCCUCUAAGAAGAUCUGAAUAU